RNAcentral lists this long non-coding RNA (284 nucleotides) under Lathyrus oleraceus (garden pea). RNAcentral's name for it is "Pisum sativum (pea) long non-coding RNA (PSAT_LNC003870)". The record is from RNAcentral. Lineage: Eukaryota; Viridiplantae; Streptophyta; Magnoliopsida; Fabales; Fabaceae.
UAUAAAAAAUGUUCUUUCUACUUUUAUUAGAUUAUUCAAUUUCAAAAUACAUAAAAAAAAUACAAAAAUAACAAAAGACAAAAAAAUAUAAUAAUAUCUUUUCUCUUAUAAUUAAAAUUAACGAUCCCUCAUCAAACUAUUUUGCUCUUGUGCAUUCAAAAAACUUUUUCAUAAAAGAAUAAUCUAUUCCAUUUAACAUGAAUACAAAUAACGGCUAAGCCUCCAUCGUACGAGCAGACAGACAAACGGUUAACCACUAAAAUGCGAUCUAACACUAUUAUCUA